CUAGCAUAGCUGAUUAGCCUGCCACUACGCGGCAUAUAUCCAUCGCGAUUUCGCCGUUUUCUGAACCGGGGCAGAUGGCACAAGUGCUGUAACGAAUGGCGGAUGUCGAGGGGCAAGCGUUAUGUCCAUCGCCGCCUCAGCAUUCAGCGUGUAACGGCUCCGGGAGCGGCGACGUCACGCCGCCGGACGCAGGCGCCGGCUGCGGCAUCCAGAGACCGAGCACCACCGUGACGGGUCAUCCGAAUAGUCAAAUCAAACUCGGGUUAUGGCUUAAAAAUAGUGAUACCAUCACCCCACUUAGUUGCUUGGUGUGUGCCUUGAAGAACUAGAACCAGGUUAUUGCCUUUGAGUGGAAGGAGAUGGUGAGGUGGGACACCGACGAAGAGGGCAUGGCCUUUUGCUUCAAGUACGCACGAGAGGAGAAGAAACCACGCUGGGUCAAGAUAUUCACACCUUACGUGAGAAAACACUGCACACAACCGGAAAAGAAGAUACGGCAAGAAGCAGCCGUUGAUUUUUAUACAGAACAGCAAGCGAAGCGGGAUAUUGCUGCAACUGUGCGCCUUUGCAGCCAUUGACACAGCAUCACGCAAUCACAUAAUGCGUGAUGACAUCUGCAUCUCCAGUACUGCAAAUAUUUCCCCCAUUCCGUGUCAGUGCCGUUUUUUUCACGCCCGCGACCCUAGUGAGGGUCAGCGGUACAGAAAAUGGAUGGAUGCAUGGAUGGAACGUGGCAAAUGAAAGGAUAAGAGAAAACUAAUCUUGUUUGGGAAAGGUUGUUGUGUACAGUGGUGCCUUAACUUAUGUGUGGCGUGUUCCGUGACAACCCUCGUAAGUCAAAACACUCGCAUCUCAAAUCAUCUUUCCCCAUUGAAAUGAAUAGUGUUAAUCUGUUCCAGGACCACAUUGUGCUUCCUCUGGUGUGUGUGCUUUGGUCUCCAGGGGGCAGUAAAAUACUGAGAUAGAGAAACACACGAAGAAGUGGUUUACAUCUGACUCAGUAAGCUGCAAUUUAAUAAUAUUAGUUGUUUUACGUGGAGGAUAAAAAAAUAUAUUCCUGUCAGUAUUGUUAUGUCGUCUGUCUCCAUGUGUUGCUUCUCCAUUUGUGUUCAAAUAUCAGUCGCUUAAAGGUUUAUACGACCACGACACCAACGCUAUUCGUUAACCCACUUAUGGUGGUUCGUAUAGUGGGUUAUCUAUCAUUAAGCUAGCAGAUUCUUAAGGCAAAGUCGUGUGGUUCUUUUAUCAAUGAUUUUUUUUUUGUUAUAUAAUUUAUAUUGAACUAAGCAGAAAAAGCCAACAAACAAAGGGAGGACAUGAUGAGCUCCUUCCCUGUGUCCUAGGCAGUCUCCUAGCCCUUGUCGUCCAUCUUGCUUUCACUUUCGGAGGUGGUGCAGUUUCUGCUUCAGUCUUAAGUACUUCAUUUUGAAGUUAUCUUUUUUCAUUUGCAGUUGCUUUAGUUGCUUCUUGAGAUGAUCCAUCUCCACUGUCAGCAUCUCUGCAUCUUCCUUGUUCUUCUUGAUGGCAUCCUGGCACGUCAUUGCGAUUUCGUCAUCUGUAUUCAACUCUUUUGCAUUGUCUGGCUUGGGAGACGGUGCUGCACCCCCCCUCUGUCAUCUUUGCCUUCCUUUUUGCCCUCCUUUUUGACCCACGUGCCAUGCUCACCGGAGAGGCUUGGCGUUCUCUGCGUUCGCUGCUGGUCCCGGCCACUUCUUUAUCGCUCAUGUUUCCCUUUUCCUCUCAGUCCUGAGUACCUGAUGUGCUAAUCAACGUUGUCUGGUUCUUUUAAAUACACAAUGUAGUACACAACUGGUAGUAUACAACUGGCCGUGGCAAUAAACUGUCUGAAGCCUCUUUUUUGAAGUAUUGUUCACUCUAUGGGCCAUAUUCUCGUGUUACUAUGUGUCUUUUUUUUUUAAGUGACUGGCCGAUUCUCCUGUAAUGACUUCUGAUGUGUUUGCAACAAUUUAAGAGGCGUGACUCAUUGAAGUCUAAGGCUGGCUGUAAUUCUCGGAAAGGGGAAUUUUCCUGAGACAUGAGAAUGCUGUAGAUAUCCAUUUGAAAAAUAUGUCACACUUUAAAUGUGAAAUUAGCUUCUGUCGCGGAUACGGACGUUAUACUAAUAGUCACCAGUCAGACGUUUGCACUGCUCAUUUGACAGGUUACUUUGAAGGAGCAUGCAUUUUUGUGUUCUGUAUUAAAUAAAGGCAAAUCCAAAUAAUUUAAUCAGUACAGUACACUGCUCAUGACUGAAUGCAUGUUUGGAGCCAAUCCAUCAAUAGCGUUUCCCAGCCACUGCUUGCGCCACACAUGCGGGCAAGUCAAACAGAUUUCAUGAUUUACAAUAACAUAGUAUUGUAAAUCAAAUCAAUGUGCUCCUAUUUGCCAAACUGAUGCUUCUUCGUGAAGUGAGUUGACUUUGUUGCCAGCAUGUUGUGCUUGUAUGUUGAAUUUUUGCUCGCAAGUCAAAGCAAAAAAUCGGCCAAACGACAGUUUGUACCUCAAAAAACCCGGAAAUCAGACUCACUCGUCAGUCAAGGCACCACUGUAUAUGCAAGACAGCUCAUCUCUUAUGGUGUGAUGCAUUAUCCACAAGUAUUACCGGAUACCAUCUGCUGAGGUUACAGAAAGUAAACCCCUGUCAAAAUAGCACUUUCUUCUUCUGAAAACAGGACACCACAAUAAACCAUUUCAAAAUGUCUUUUCUGAAUAUGGGCUGAUCUCUAACCUGUAUAAAGAAGCAAUCUUUGAGGGAGUAAGCCCAGUUCAGUAAGUUGGUUGCAAAUAGGUUAAGUUUAGAACAAAACAAUUGCUGAAGCACCUUUUGCUUUAGUGGGCGAAUUCUGUCAUAUUUGGGUAGGGGUGUAUCAAGAGGUGCGCCAAAUGUUUCAGAUUGAGAAGACACUCCACGCAUCAACUUUUCAAUUGGAUCUAGGUCAGAACCUUUUGGCGACUGAAAUAUAUUUAUAUAUUUUACCUGUAUUUUAACAGGGUGUUUUCACUUUAUUUCUCCAUAGUAUGAUGCACUGUAGUUAAAAUUUGUGACUGACUGGUUAAUAAACCACUGUGUAUUCAA
Phycodurus eques (leafy seadragon) is the source of this 3076-nucleotide long non-coding RNA. RefSeq lists it as uncharacterized. The transcript has 2 exons. The record is from RefSeq and is a predicted model, not a curated record. Lineage: Eukaryota; Metazoa; Chordata; Actinopteri; Syngnathiformes; Syngnathidae.